RNAcentral lists this ribosomal RNA (253 nucleotides) under uncultured bacterium. Its description in RNAcentral is "partial 16S ribosomal RNA". It matches the Rfam family "Bacterial small subunit ribosomal RNA", at positions 524 to 776 of the family's 1533-position model. The record is from RNAcentral.
UACGAAGGGUGCAAGCGUUGUUCGGAAUUAUUGGGCGUAAAGCGCGCGCAGGCGGAUUUGCAAGUCAGAUGUGAAAUCCCCGGGCUUAACCUGGGAACUGCGUUUGAAACUGGGAGGCUAGAGUGUGGAAGAGGGGGGUGGAAUUCCAGGUGUAGCAGUGAAAUGCGUAGAGAUCUGGAGGAACACCGAUGGCGAAGGCAGCCCCCUGGGCUGACACUGACGCUCAUGCACGAAAGCGUGGGGAGCAAACAGG